RNAcentral lists this transfer RNA (83 nucleotides) under Pelodiscus sinensis (Chinese soft-shelled turtle). It matches the Rfam family "tRNA". Rfam says of the family: Transfer RNA (tRNA) molecules are approximately 80 nucleotides in length. Their secondary structure includes four short double-helical elements and three loops (D, anti-codon, and T loops). The record is from Rfam by way of RNAcentral. Lineage: Eukaryota; Metazoa; Chordata; Testudines; Trionychidae.
AUCAGGAUGGCUCAGUGGUUACGGUGUUGGACUUAAGAUCCAAUAGAUGUUUGGCUAUGUGGGUUCAAAUCCCACUCCUGGUA